This 428-nucleotide ribosomal RNA is filed under the name uncultured bacterium. RNAcentral's name for it is "bacterial SSU rRNA". It matches the Rfam family "Bacterial small subunit ribosomal RNA", at positions 354 to 796 of the family's 1533-position model. The record is from RNAcentral.
GUAGGGAAUAUUGCACAAUGGGGGAAACCCUGAUGCAGCGACGCCGCGUGAGUGAUGAAGGCCUUCGGGUCGUAAAGCUCUGUCGUAUGGGACUAACACAAUGAAGGUACCAUGCAAGAAAGGAUCGGCUAACUUCGUGCCAGCAGCCGCGGUAAGACGAGGGAUCCUAGCGUUGUUCGGAAUCAUUGGGCGUAAAGCGGGUGUAGGCGGAUUUAUAAGUCAGGUGUGAAAUCCCAGGGCUCAACCCUGGAAGUGCACUUGAUACUGUAAAUCUUGAGUGUGGUAGAGGUUACUGGAAUUGUUGGUGUAGUGGUGAAAUACGUAGAUAUCAACAGGAAUACCGGAGGCGAAGGCGAGUAACUGGGCCAACACUGACGCUGAGACCCGAAAGCGUGGGGAUCAAACAGGAUUAGAUACCCUGGUAGUCC